Molecule: ribosomal RNA, 373 nt
Filed under: uncultured archaeon
Lineage: Archaea
Description: bacterial SSU rRNA
Rfam family: Archaeal small subunit ribosomal RNA
Source: RNAcentral
UUACAAUGCGGGAAACCUUGAUAAGGGAACUCCGAGUGCCCGUUACAUCGGGCUGUCCAUCUGUGUAAAUAACAGGUGCAGAAAGGGCCGGGCAAGACCGGUGCCAGCCGCCGCGGUAAUACCGGCGGCUCGAGUGGUGGCCACUAUUACUGGGCUUAAAGCGUUCGUAGCUGGUUUGUUAAGUCUCUGGGGAAAUCUUCCGGCUUAACCGGAAGGCGUCUCAGGGAUACUGGCAGACUAGGGACCGGAAGAGGUGAGGGGUACUCCAGGGGUAGGAGUGAAACCCUGUAAUCCUUGGGGGACCACCUGUGGCGAAGGCGCCUCACGAGGACGGCUCCGACAGUGAGGGACGAAAGCUGGGGGAGCAAACCGG